GGGGUAGAAGUCAGGUGUGAAAUACCGCGGCUCAACUGCGGGGAUGCAUCUGAAACUCUGCUUCUUGAGUGUCGGAGAGGAAAGCGGAAUUCCCAGUGUAGCGGUGAAAUGCGUAGAGAUUGGGAGGAACACCAGUGGCGAAGGCGGCUUUCUGGACGACAACUGACGCUGAGGCGCGAAAGCGUGGGGAGCAAACAGGAUUAGAUACCCUGGUAGUCCACGCUGUAAACGAUGGAUACUAGGUGUAGGAGGUAUCGACCCCUUCUGUGCCGGAGUUAACACAAUAAGUAUCCCGCCUGGGGAGUACGGCCGCAAGGCUGAAACUCAAAGGAAUUGACGGGGGCCCGCACAAGCAGUGGAGUAUGUGGUUUAAUUCGAAGCAACGCGAAGAACCUUACCAGGGCUUGACAUCCCCCUGACGGAUGUAGAGAUACAUCUUCCCUUCGGGGCAGGGGAGACAGGUGGUGCAUGGUUGUCGUCAGCUCGUGUCGUGAGAUGUUGGGUUAAGUCCCGCAACGAGCGCAACCCUUGUUGUUAGUUGCCAGCAUUAAGUUGGGCACUCUAACGAGACUGCCGGUGACAAAUCGGAGGAAGGUGGGGACGACGUCAAAUCAUCAUGCCCCUUAUGUCCUGGGCUACACACGUACUACAAUGGCGACUACAGAGGGCAGCAAAGCCGUGAGGCAGAGCCAAUCCCCAAAAGUCGUCCCAGUUCGGAUUGCAGGCUGCAACCCGCCUGCAUGAAGUCGGAAUUGCUAGUAAUGGCAGGUCAGCAUACUGCCGUGAAUACGUUCCCGGGCCUUGUACACACCGCCCGUCACACCAUGAGAGCUGACAACACCCGAAGUCGGUGGUCUAACCGCAAGGAGGACGCCGCCGAAGGUGGGGUUGGUGAUUGGGGUGAAGUCGAACAAGGUAGCCGUA
This 924-nucleotide ribosomal RNA is filed under the name uncultured bacterium. RNAcentral describes it as "bacterial SSU rRNA". It matches the Rfam family "Bacterial small subunit ribosomal RNA", at positions 578 to 1504 of the family's 1533-position model. The record is from RNAcentral.